GUGGGGAAUAUUGGACAAUGGGCGCAAGCCUGAUCCAGCCAUGCCGCGUGAGUGAUGAAGGCCUUAGGGUUGUAAAGCUCUUUCGCUGGGGAAGAUAAUGACGGUACCCAGAGAAGAAGCCCCGGCUAACUUCGUGCCAGCAGCCGCGGUAAUACGAAGGGGGCUAGCGUUGUUCGGAAUUACUGGGCGUAAAGCGCACGUAGGCGGACUUGUCAGUCAGAGGUGAAAUCCCGAAGCUUAACUUCGGAACUGCCUUUGAUACUGCAAGUCUUGAGGAUGAGAGAGGUAAGUGGAACUGCGAGUGUAGAGGUGAAAUUCGUAGAUAUUCGCAAGAACACCAGUGGCGAAGGCGGCUUACUGGCUCAUUUCUGACGCUGAGGUGCGAAAGCGUGGGGAGCAAACAGGAUUAGAAACCCCAGUAGUCC
This 425-nucleotide ribosomal RNA is filed under the name uncultured bacterium. Its description in RNAcentral is "bacterial SSU rRNA". It matches the Rfam family "Bacterial small subunit ribosomal RNA", at positions 354 to 796 of the family's 1533-position model. The record is from RNAcentral.